GGCCAUUUUUGGUAAGCAGAA
RNAcentral lists this small nuclear RNA (21 nucleotides) under Arabidopsis thaliana (thale cress). Its description in RNAcentral is "snRNA_11081". Lineage: Eukaryota; Viridiplantae; Streptophyta; Magnoliopsida; Brassicales; Brassicaceae. The record is from RNAcentral.